Molecule: long non-coding RNA, 3059 nt
Filed under: Bemisia tabaci
Lineage: Eukaryota; Metazoa; Arthropoda; Insecta; Hemiptera; Aleyrodidae
Description: lncRNA ENSSSA1UGG001851
Source: RNAcentral
AGUUUAUUCUUUGCAAAUCGUUCCUGGGACUUCACAAGGACUCUUGGUUGGUACGGUGACUAUUAUUGACUAACUCAAUAUUUUUCCCAACUUCGCAAGUGAGAUUUUUCCCUGGGACAAAUCCCAUGAAAUGUCCCGUGGAGACCAGGCCUCCCUCUCAAGAAUCCCUACGUCUUUUCCGCUGCGGGAGGAAAAAAAUCGCCUUUGAACUCUGAGGAUAAAGCACACCUGUUGUAUCCGAAAGCGGCGUUGCGCCGGGGUCCGUGGCCGUCCCAGAUCCAGGGGGGUUGACCGGAGCCCCGCCGCCGCCGCCGGUCGAGCCUCCGUAUCGACGCGGGCCCGAGCCCCGAACCCGGGACCCGGAGAUCCACGACCCGGACCGACUCCCAGCGCGCCCCGCGACGGGGCCGGGGCCGGGGCGCUGCGAUGGGGCGACGGGGCGCCCGGGUGCGUGGCUUCCGCGCAAGCGACGAAUUCGGAGGAGCGGGCGUGAGACGGCUCGCACGGCUCAGUCAGAGCAGUGAAACCGUCCCAACUCGUCCUCCCACCACCGAUCGACUCCUUAUCGGCCGACUCCCUCUCCCGACUCGACCCGACUUCAGCCCCGAUCUCAUUAGUCCCCCGCCUUUGCUUUAUUGUGUGCGAGUAAUGUAUUUAUUGCCGCGGUCCCCCACCCCGCACCGCCCCCGCCGCGUUAUCACUUGUUGUACACGGACCGGCAGGAUUUUAACGCCUAUCUUGUCGUCGCACCGGUGCGUGGUUCAUUUUUAUCUGCACUCCUUUAUUGCAGUACUUAAAUGAGAGCCCGUCGGAAGAAUGCUUGGAUUCACCUCGGCUGGUGGAGCUUUGGAUCGAAGCUUAGAGACGGAGACGACGCGUCGUCCUUAAAAAAUGACUGAAGUCGAUCGAAGAAAACAUAGUUCCCGCCGAGGAUAAGUUUCGGAACAGCAGUAAAAAGUUGCUCAGCCAUCUGGUGGAUUAUUAUUGCUCCCUUUCCGCCCUGACGCUCUCAGUCCUGAUAAACACUGCCUAUUUAUCUUCCCCGAGUGCGGACUUUGGUAUUCAGUUCCGGUUCAGCACACUCCCUCAGGUGGUAGAUUUGGUUUUCAUAUUACGAGGCAUUCAAUCAGUAUUGGUCAAAUUUGAAAAUCGAUGAUAUUUGCGUGAAAAGUGCCCAUCCUGAAUGACUCUUCCUUUAAAUUUUAAACCUCUGUCAAUUUUUUAGUUUUUAGAGGCGGACAUUUGCAUCGUAUUCUGAUAAUUCAAAUAAUUUAUGAAGAAUAGAAAAUGAUACUAUGUAAUAAUUGUUGAAACAGUACAGUUUCCUUAUUUUGAAAAUAAAAUAAGAAAUGUAUGGAUGAUAAACUGAGCCUCCUAUGAACUUGCACCCAAUCUUUGAAAUCCAACGUUAAAAAAACGCUCUAUGUCGUCGCCAAAUUUGGUGUUUGAUAAAUGUAUACAUAUGAUGGUUAGUGGUUGAUGACGAAAACUUCCUAUAACCGAAAAGAGCCGAAAUUUAUUAGGGAUAAAAAAUUAUCUUAAAAUAACAGGUCAUUUUUUUUAGGAAUUCAUGUGGAAACACAACAUUUUAGAAUUUCGCUUCUUUUCGCUACAUCACUUCACACAUACUCGGUAGUCCGACCUGCCUUAACUGUGUAAAAGUGGACAAAAUAUUAAAUAAUCGAUACUUUUCCCGAACUUUAGAAGAAAAUUUUGGGUCCUCUAAGAAAAUUUCGAGGAAACUCCAAAGCAAGGCCUGAGUUUUUGUCAUCGAAUUUUUCUGCGGAAAUCAGGAAAAAAUAGGGUAUUAUUAGGGGAUGAAAAAAGUAAAACAUUCUAUUGACACCCUACUUUCCUCAGACCUCCUUUGACUCAAAAAAUAUUUGUGCGCGUUUUAAACGACUUGUUUUUAACGAAAAGCUGUAAGUUUCGCACAUGACAGUCUUCGCGCAACAUGAAACCAUUAACAUCUCAGUUUCGAUAAAACUGACGCUCGCGAUACCGUGACGACGUACAAUUAUUGUGGUGGCUUAAAACUGGAAAAAAGAACGAAUGAAAAGAAGUACAAAACUAGGGUAAACCCAGGACGAGAAGAUAAUAAUGCUCCCGCGCGAUUGAGGCGCGGAAUAAAGCCUCGCCGGAGAAAACUGCAAGCUUUGACAGUUUCUGCACUGAAGGCGCUCAGUUGCCAGAUUCCGCCGGAAAGAAACUCAUGCACUAUUUAUGGAAAGUAUUCGUAUUUUAUCAUACAAUCCGGCAACUGUGAAGGAGAAGUGGCGUGGAAAUACGGAUGGAACUGGAUUCUGGCGGUGGAACGGGGCGAAGGGAGGGGAGGCGGAAAAGUUGGAGAUGUGCGGUGCGGCGCGGCGCUGGGAAACUGCGCGCGACUGAGAAAAUUCGCGCUGACAAUUAACGAUUUAAGAUUUUCAGGCAAUUAAAUCCAAUUAUUCAUCCGAGCCCGACCCGGUUUACGAGUGGAUGCGUAGCGCGAGACAGUCGGGACCGCGACCUGCUCAAUCGACUUCCGCGGGCUGCGUCGCACAACGCUCCGAGUAACGUUUUUCCAGGCUCGUCGUAUCUGUAAAAUUAGGCCGUGGAAAUCUCUUUGGUCGUUACUAAAAUCAUUUCAAUUGUUGUAUUUUUAACGCGGUGCUAAUCUUACAGGGUGUCAGGGUGUCUACUAUUAGGAAAAACUGGAAAAUAUAUGGAAUUUCGAUGUUAUUAGGAAAAAUUAGGAAAAUCGAUCAUGGUUCCGGAAAUUCUGAGUGCUCUAUGCAGUUUUCAAGAAUUUUUCCGACUUUGGAUUCAUUUAAUAUAUUUAUUGAAUGUGCUGAUUUUUUAAAUCAAACAAGCAUCAAUCUAGUCGCGCAUAAACUCAGGAAUUCUCGUUUAAAAUAGCAGGAAAAAUCAUGAAAAGCCAUUAAUAAAUUUUAGUAGACACCUUGUUUUCGUAACAAAUUGCUGAGUGAAAUUAAGAGUGUCUGAUUAUUGAAUUUGAUAGACAAAGCAACAGACAAGGAAGACAAAAUGAAGAUGGAGCGAUUUUACUGGGCGAAAUA